Molecule: ribosomal RNA, 375 nt
Filed under: uncultured organism
Description: partial 16S ribosomal RNA
Rfam family: Bacterial small subunit ribosomal RNA
Source: RNAcentral
GUAGGUGGCAAGCGUUGUCCGGGAAUUAUUGGGGCGUAAAGCGCGCGCAGGCGGUUCUUUAAGUCUGAUGUGAAAGCCCACGGGCUCAACCGUGGAGGGUCAUUGGAAACUGGAGAACUUGAGUACAGAAGAGGAAAGCGCAAUUCCACGUGUAGCGGUGAAAUGCGUAGAGAUGUGGAGGAACACCAGUGGCGAAGGCGGCUUUCUGGUCUGUAACUGACGCUGAGGCGCGAAAGCGUGGGGAGCAAACAGGAUUAGAUACCCUGGUAGUCCACGCCGUAAACGAUGAGUGCUAAGUGUUAGGGGGUUUCCGCCCCUUAGUGCUGCAGCUAACGCAUUAAGCACUCCGCCUGGGGAGUACGGCCGCAAAGGCUG